GAUGAACGCUAGCGGCAAGCCUAACACAUGCAAGUCGAACGGUAACUUUUGGUGCUUGCACCGAAAGACGAGUGGCGAACGGGUGCGUAACGCGUAUGCAAUCUGCCUUUUACUAGGGUAUAGCCCAGAGAAAUUUGGAUUAAUCCCCUAUAAUAUCAUUUAAUCGCAUGAUUUUAUGAUUAAAGCUUCGGAGAUAAAAGAUGAGCAUGCGUCCUAUUAGUUAGUAGGUGAGGUAACGGCUCACCUAGACUCCGAUAGGUAGGGGUCCUGAGAGGGAGAUCCCCCACACUGGUACUGAGACACGGACCAGACUCCUACGGGAGGCAGCAGUGAGGAAUAUUGGACAAUGG
RNAcentral lists this ribosomal RNA (350 nucleotides) under uncultured bacterium. RNAcentral describes it as "bacterial SSU rRNA". It matches the Rfam family "Bacterial small subunit ribosomal RNA", at positions 28 to 374 of the family's 1533-position model. The record is from RNAcentral.